Molecule: ribosomal RNA, 411 nt
Filed under: Mediterraneibacter sp.
Lineage: Bacteria; Bacillati; Bacillota; Clostridia; Lachnospirales; Lachnospiraceae
Description: bacterial SSU rRNA
Rfam family: Bacterial small subunit ribosomal RNA
Source: RNAcentral
UUUAACGAGAGUUUGAUCCUGGCUCAGGAUGAACGCUGGCGGCGUGCUUAACACAUGCAAGUCGAGCGAAGCACUUUGCUUUGAUUUCUUCGGGAUGAAGAGCUUAGUGACUGAGCGGCGGACGGGUGAGUAACGCGUGGGUAACCUGCCUCAUACAGGGGGAUAACAGUUAGAAAUGACUGCUAAUACCGCAUAAGGCCACAGCACCGCAUGGUGCAGGGGUAAAAACUCCGGUGGUAUGAGAUGGACCCGCGUCUGAUUAGGUAGUUGGCGGGGUAACGGCCCACCAAGCCGACGAUCAGUAGCCGACCUGAGAGGGUGACCGGCCACAUUGGGACUGAGACACGGCCCAAACUCCUACGGGAGGCAGCAGUGGGGAAUAUUGCACAAUGGGGGAAACCCUGAUGCAGC